GUGAUGUCAAAGGCCCUUGCCAAGUCUCUGGGACAGUGGCCUGAUUGUUGAAGGAAGGAACUUACUGGAAGAACAGUGAAUGGUGUUUUCAACAAGGGCAUGGAGGUCACACUAAAGAGUCUUCUGUCCUGUUCCUCAUGUUAUCACUGCGUUGCUCUUUCUACUUUCUCACUCAACAACUCAGGACUGACCCACGAACUAAACACCUGGAAGGAAUGAACAUCAGAGAUGAUCUGCCAGCAUGAGGAAACCAAAGCUCUGGAAACGGACAGUUAACCAUCUAGAGAUGAGCAACCAGCAAGUUGUUGCAUUCCGGCCUGUAUCCAGGUUUAGCCAGUGACUCCCUGCUGCUGGCUGGGAAAUCUUGAAGGAAUUGUGUCAUACUACUGUUGUGAAAACAAACACAAAUCAAAAAAAAAAAAAAAAAGGUUGUUAUGGAAUCUAAGGAUAAAUAGCUGGAAUCAUUUAUUUAUUAUAAAAUAACUAGCCCCACAUGCUAACAGUUAUUUUCAAGAUUCUGAAAUUAGGCAAGACUUAGUAAUAUAUCUCCUUCAUUAACAACAUCAA
RNAcentral lists this long non-coding RNA (567 nucleotides) under Rhinopithecus bieti (black snub-nosed monkey). RNAcentral's name for it is "lncRNA (ENSRBIG00000045997.1)". Lineage: Eukaryota; Metazoa; Chordata; Mammalia; Primates; Cercopithecidae. The record is from RNAcentral.